UACGUAGGGGGCAAGCGUUGUCCGGAAUUAUUGGGCGUAAAGAGCGCGUAGGCGGUCCGAUAAGUCGGCUGUGAAAGUCGGGGGCUCAACCCUCGAAUGCCGGUGGAUACUGUUGGGCUAGAGUGCGGGAGAGGCGAGUGGAAUUCCUGGUGUAGCGGUGAAAUGCGCAGAUAUCAGGAGGAACACCAAUUGCGAAGGCAGCUCGCUGGAACGUAACUGACGCUGAGACGCGAAAGCGUGGGGAGCAAACAGG
RNAcentral lists this ribosomal RNA (253 nucleotides) under uncultured bacterium. Its description in RNAcentral is "partial 16S ribosomal RNA". It matches the Rfam family "Bacterial small subunit ribosomal RNA", at positions 524 to 776 of the family's 1533-position model. The record is from RNAcentral.